Molecule: transfer RNA, 75 nt
Filed under: Muribaculaceae bacterium
Lineage: Bacteria; Pseudomonadati; Bacteroidota; Bacteroidia; Bacteroidales; Muribaculaceae
Description: tRNA-Lys
Rfam family: tRNA
About the family: Transfer RNA (tRNA) molecules are approximately 80 nucleotides in length. Their secondary structure includes four short double-helical elements and three loops (D, anti-codon, and T loops).
Source: RNAcentral
GAACUCAUAGCUCAGUUGGUUAGAGCUCGUGAUUUUUUAAUCUCGGAGUCGCAAGUUCGAGUCUUGCUGGGUUCA